Entelurus aequoreus (snake pipefish) is the source of this 1485-nucleotide long non-coding RNA. RefSeq lists it as uncharacterized. Lineage: Eukaryota; Metazoa; Chordata; Actinopteri; Syngnathiformes; Syngnathidae. The transcript is spliced from 3 exons. The record is from RefSeq and is a predicted model, not a curated record.
ACCGAGCAAGUCAGUCAAGCAUGGAUAGCGGGCGUCGGCGGUCGAAAAUGUGGCUUUAUUUUACUAAAAAAAAUGAAAUAUUGGCGAAAUGUAACACGUGCGACAGGACUGUUUCGUGCUUAGGAGGGUGCACGUCGAACAUGAUGAAGCACCUCCGAGUUCAUGGAGUACAAAUAAAUGCGUGUACCGUCUUCGACGCGCUGCGCCGACCGUCCUCCUCUGACUCCGACGCCCAGCCUGGCACCUUGGUGACUGCACUGCAGUCCGAAUCUGACAAUUUACAACCUGCGAGCCAGGCUCCGUGAUGUGCUCAGCAUACUCCGUUCACCGUAGCGGCAAUGGGGAAGAUGUCGGUGCCACAGACGGAAGAGUGCCACAGAAAGGUCACUGCACACAUAGUCAAAAGACUGCAUCCCUUUUCAGAGGUGGAAUCUCCAACAUUUAGGGAUAUGGUGAAAACUCUCAACCCAAAAUACAUACCACCUUCCAGGGACUACCUGUCAAACACAUUGAUGGUACAAGAAGAAUCGGAAUCGAGAAUAGUCAGGAAUCGGAAUCGAAACAAAGAAUCGGAAUCGGAAUCGUACCAAUUCAAACGAUACCCAACCCUAGUAGUGUACACAUCAAAGCCAUUCAUACAUUCUAAUCUUGCAACUUGUUUCUACAUCUAAAUUCAUGCAGAGGCUUUCAACACAAUUAUUUUUAUGUCAAAUAGAAAAUAGAUAAAUCAGUCAUUUUAAAAAAGGUGCCAUCUCCCAACAGCAAAAUGUAAAAGAAACAAUCUUGUUUCUACAGGAUAAUCACCAUGAAGACGAUGUGAAAUAAAAUUCACAAAUCAAGAGUGUAAUCAAAUAAUUUAGUGAGCAAUAUACAAGCUGUUGAUUCUUUUUGAAUGGACUUUUAGGUGACAUGAUAAGGUAAAAAGAUGGAAACAAACCUGCUCUGUGUGGCACAACUUGAGGUUUGAAAACAGCAUCCAGUAGUUCUUGUAGACGUUUGUUCUCCUCCUUUGUCCUAGAAAGUUCCUCUUAGUACUUUGCUAUGGUUCUUUCCAACACUCCAAAUAUUUCUUCAACAGUAACAUCGAGUCGCUGCUCCACCAACCUUCUCACCUUUAGUAAUUCGCACAUUUUGUCCUGCGUGUUGCUAACUUCCGGCUUUAUUUCUAGGCUCAUGUUUUAAAUGUAAAAAGCGGAAAAGCUGAUUUUAAAAGUAAGUAAGUAAUUAUUUUGAGUGCAAAAAGAGAUGAGAUGAAGACGUUUCCUGCCAACACCUAGUGAUGGGUGGUUCGCGAACGAUCCGUCUUUAAAAGAUCCUGCUCUUUGAAGUAGCAGCUCUUUGAUAUCAAAGAACCUUUGACCAAUUAUUCCUUUAGUUUAACGGCAGCUUGCAGCAAUGACAUGAAAGGUGCAUACUGCCAUCUACUGCAGCGAAGUAUGUCACAUGCGCUAUAUUCAUGUACUUACACUGUAACAACUAAUACUG